AACGUAAUUUUAUUAACGUAAACGACACGUCACUCGUAGUUUCUGGUUCAACUGGUAGAUCAUCGUAACAUUAUUGCAGUUUGCAAAUGCCACCUAGUAGCGUUUUUAAGAAGUCACAGAGAAGCAUCGAAGUAAAGGGCAACUAGUUUUAUCGCGUUCCGUAGUCAGGUUAAAACGUGGUAGAAAAACGAUCGGAGAAUCGAUUGCGAAAAAUAAUAUCUUGUAGAAUUAUACAUGUAUCAAGAUAGAUUGGCAAAUGGAAUAAAUAUUAUUAUGGAGGCGAAAAACACCAUCUACCGGUCAUUAAUUCUGUUCCUAUUUGGCGUGGCUCAUGGGCAGCUAGUGCGAACAAGGUGAUACGGUUCAUUCGGUGUUAAUGUACUCGACUUUCUCUCUCAUAUGUCAGUCGGUACGCGGUCACGAGUAGUCGUUCCAAACCCAUGGUCAUCCUUCGAGGACACAACCAAUAUAUCUUCUGUUUGCGCUAUUUUCAACCUUGACCUGUAUUCAACCGGCGUAAACCCAGGAUCCACAGCGAAUCGAACAAAUCCAAAACUGAAGGAGCGUGAAAACGACUUUAUCUUAUGCCGCCCUGCUCAUGCCCGUCGUUCUUUGCCGCGUGGAACGUGAAAUGAAACGAAAUGAAGGACGUGUUCCGCCGCCAAAUUGUGUCGAGGAUCCAAGAUGGAUAUCUGUCUGGCCGGUAACGUGAAUCAAAACGUGAGUUUGCUACGUAUGCACACCGAAAAUCCAGAGCCGAGACAGCCACGUCUGUCUGGUUAACAGCCUAAUAAAGAUAGCUCAUAGCUGGUUGAAGCGGUUUCGUUGGACCUCUAUUGGGAGCUCUUGAUGGGUAGACAGUACGAAAAUGCAGUCAGAGGAGAUCGAGAAAAUAUUGCGUCACCGAACUAAGUCAUUCGUUAAUAGGAAUUGCAUUCGCAUAAAAAAAUAUAGCAGUUGCGGUUGAUUGCGGUGAUCAGUCGUUUCCUCGAAAAGAAAUUCGUAACACCGAUAAACAGAGAAAGAGAUCUCGGUGACUUCAUUGAUCAUUGCAUAAGAUAGAAGAUUGAAUGGCCUGAAUCGAGAUAUUUAAUAAUUUA
This 1100-nucleotide long non-coding RNA is filed under the name Apis mellifera (honey bee). Its description in RNAcentral is "uncharacterized LOC102653866, transcript variant X5". The record is from RNAcentral. Lineage: Eukaryota; Metazoa; Arthropoda; Insecta; Hymenoptera; Apidae.